GGCUCAGAUUGAACGCUGGCGGCGUGCUUAACACAUGCAAGUCGAGCGGUAACGCGGGGGCAACCCUGGCGACGAGCGGCGAACGGGUGAGUAUUACAUGGGAAUCUGCCUAGUAGUGGGGAAUAACCCGGGGAAACUCGGGCUAAUACCGCAUACGUCCUAAGGGAGAAAGCGGGGGAUCGCAAGACCUCGCGCUAUUGGAUGAGCCCAUGUCGGAUUAGCUAGUUGGUGAGGUAAUGGCUCACCAAGGCGACGAUCCGUAGCUGGUCUGAGAGGACGGCCAGCCACACUGGGACUGAGACACGGCCCAGACUCCUACGGGAGGCAGCAGUGGGGAAUAUUGGACAAUGGGGGAAACCCUGAUCCAGCGACGCCGCGUGUGUGAAGAAGGCCUGCGGGUUGUAAAGCACUUUCGAUGGGUACGAAAUAUGCAGGGCUAAUACCCCUGCAGGCUGACGUUACCUAAUGAAGAAGCACCGGCUAACUCUGUG
RNAcentral lists this ribosomal RNA (491 nucleotides) under uncultured bacterium. RNAcentral describes it as "bacterial SSU rRNA". It matches the Rfam family "Bacterial small subunit ribosomal RNA", at positions 21 to 507 of the family's 1533-position model. The record is from RNAcentral.